GGUGAGUCGGCCCCUAAGGCGAGGACGAAAGUCGUAGUCGAUGGGAAGCAGGUUAAUAUUCCUGCACCUCGCGUAAGUGCGAUGGAGGGACGGAGAAGGUUAGGCGUACCGGGCGUUGGUUGUCCCGGGGAAAGGCGGUAGGUUUGGAUCUUUGGCAAAUCCGGGAUCCUUCAAGACCGAGCACCGAGACGAGCCUUUAUGGCGAAGUCGCUGAUACCACGCUUCCAGGAAAAGCUCCUAAGCUUCAGCUUACGCAGACCGUACCGUAAACCGACACAGGUGGGUAGGAUGAGAAUUCUCAGGCGCUUGAGAGAACUCGGGUGAAGGAACUAGGCAAAAUGGCACCGUAACUUCGGGAGAAGGUGCACCCUUUUUGGUGGCUCGUGCGAGCUAUAGCUGAAGAGGGUCGCAGUAACCAGGCCGCUGCGACUGUUUAUCAAAAACACAGCACUCUGCAAACACGAAAGUGGACGUAUAGGGUGUGACGCCUGCCCGGUGCCGGAAGGUUAAUUGAUGGGGUUAGCUAACGCGAAGCUCUUGAUCGAAGCCCCGGUAAACGGCGGCCGUAACAAUAACGGUCCUAAGGUAGCGAAAUUCCUUGUCGGGUAAGUUCCGACCUGCACGAAUGGCGUAACGAUGGCGGCGCUGUCUCCACCCGAGACUCAGUGAAAUUGAAAUCGCUGUGAAGAUGCAGUGUAUCCGCGGCUAGACGGAAAGACCCCGUGAACCUUUACUAUAGCUUUGCACUGGACUUUGAAUUUGCUUGUGUAGGAUAGGUGGGAGGCUUUGAAGCGUGGACGCCAGUUCGCGUGGAGCCAUCCUUGAAAUACCACCCUGGCAACUUUGAGGUUCUAACUCAGGUCCGUUAUCCGGAUCGAGGACAGUGUAUGGUGGGUAGUUUGACUGGGGCGGUCUCCUCCUAAAGAGUAACGGAGGAGUACGAAGGUGCGCUCAGACCGGUCGGAAAUCGGUCGUAGAGUAUAAAGGCAAAAGCGCGCUUGACUGCGAGACAGACACGUCGAGCAGGUACGAAAGUAGGUCUUAGUGAUCCGGUGGUUCUGUAUGGAAGGGCCAUCGCUCAACGGAUAAAAGGUACUCCGGGGAUAACAGGCUGAUACCGCCCAAGAGUUCAUAUCGACGGCGGUGUUUGGCACCUCGAUGUCGGCUCAUCACAUCCUGGGGCUGAAGCCGGUCCCAAGGGUAUGGCUGUUCGCCAUUUAAAGUGGUACGCGAGCUGGGUUUAGAACGUCGUGAGACAGUUCGGUCCCUAUCUGCCGUGGACGUUUGAGAUUUGAGAGGGGCUGCUCCUAGUACGAGAGGACCGGAGUGGACGAACCUCUGGUGUUCCGGUUGUCACGCCAGUGGCAUUGCCGGGUAGCUAUGUUCGGGAAAGAUAACCGCUGAAAGCAUCUAAGCGGGAAACUUGCCUCAAGAUGAGAUCUCACUGGAACCUUGAGUUCCCUGAAGGGCCGUCGAAGACUACGACGUUGAUAGGUUGGGUGUGUAAGCGCUGUGAGGCGUUGAGCUAACCAAUACUAAUUGCCCGUGAGGCUUGACC
Molecule: ribosomal RNA, 1558 nt
Filed under: Lepomis microlophus
Lineage: Eukaryota; Metazoa; Chordata; Actinopteri; Centrarchiformes; Centrarchidae
Description: bacterial LSU rRNA
Rfam family: Bacterial large subunit ribosomal RNA
Source: RNAcentral